RNAcentral lists this unclassified non-coding RNA (260 nucleotides) under Hevea brasiliensis (rubber tree). Lineage: Eukaryota; Viridiplantae; Streptophyta; Magnoliopsida; Malpighiales; Euphorbiaceae. The record is from RNAcentral.
AAAAAAAAAAAAAAAAAAUCUUUUCUGAAAACAUUGGUUAGGCUCUGUUUCUGCUAGCUUCAGCUCUCUAUUCUCUAAAAUUAAGCUAAAGCUUUGAGUUUUUGCAGAUUAAAUCUCACUGUAAGACUCCUCAUCUAGUCCCUACUUAGCUUUUCAAAACUCAAAGCUUUCAAUUGUUUUUUUCCUUUCUUUUCUGGGUUUUAAAUUUUAAGCUUGUUUUAGUUACAGUAUUUUGUUUUUUCAUGUUUAUUUUUUUUUUA